Molecule: ribosomal RNA, 119 nt
Filed under: Lepisosteus oculatus (spotted gar)
Lineage: Eukaryota; Metazoa; Chordata; Actinopteri; Semionotiformes; Lepisosteidae
Source: RNAcentral
UCCACCAGCCAUCUCACCCUGCAACUCCCAAGUGGCAGCCCACUGGAGCUCAGCAGGUGUGAGCCUGGUCAGUACCUGGAUGGGAGACCUCCUGGGAAAAACUUAGGUUGCUGCUGGAG